GACGAACGCUGGCGGCGUGCUUAACACAUGCAAGUCGAACGGUAAGGCCCUUUCUUUGUUGGGUGCUCUAGUUGCGAACGGGUGGGUAACAUGUGAGUAACCUGCCCUUGACUCUGGUAUUACUUCAGGAAAUUGGGGCUUAUACCGUACAGGAGCUCCUGCUGCUUUGUCGUGGUUGGUAUGGUUCGGCUGUUGUGGCUGGACGUGGGGCUUAUCAGCUUGUUGGUGGGGUAGUUGCUUACCAAGGCUUUGACGGGUAGCCGGCCUGAGAGGGUUACCGGCAAGAUUGGGACUGAGACACGGCCCAGAAGCCUACGGGAGGGCGCAGUGGGGGAUAGUGCGAAGUGGGCGGGCGCCGUGUGCAGUGACGCCGCGUGCGGGAUGACGGCCUUCGGGUUGUGAACCGCUUUCGCCUGGGUCGAAGCGUGAGUGACGGUAAUUGGUAAAGAAGCACCGGCUAACUACGUG
RNAcentral lists this ribosomal RNA (468 nucleotides) under uncultured bacterium. RNAcentral's name for it is "partial 16S ribosomal RNA". It matches the Rfam family "Bacterial small subunit ribosomal RNA", at positions 28 to 507 of the family's 1533-position model. The record is from RNAcentral.